CUGGUGUAACAAGAGUUGCAAAUUCAGAACACUUUUAACAGAUCUUUUCCUGAGCUUGCACCCAAGAUAUUUUGUUAUUUUGGACUGGAUUCUCAUAUACAGCAGCAUAAAUGAGAAAGGACACUUCUACAUUUGUACAUUAUACAUAACAUACUUUUUGUGACAAUAAAAUAAUUCUGAUCUAAUCUGCUACACCAGUGUCUGCAAAGGAACAUUAUUUAACAUAUGAGCAGCAAUAAUAAUGCAGCUAAAGAAAUUUGUUUUUCAAUUAUACAACAUUCCAGAAGUCAUACCCUUGAGCCUACUGAGCAGCAUGUUUGGAGUUUGUAUGUGUCCAACUCAGGUGCUGCAUGCAGAAACUGAGAAACCAGCUUAAAUGUCUUUCACCUGUAUCAGCCUACACAGUAAUCACUUUUGUCUGGCAGAUGUGUAAGUACAUCUCUUGUGUCACUGGAUAAAAUGCUAAUGUCACUGCAUUAUCUACUUGAAAUGAGAAACCAAGAGAAGACUGUAGAAGAAGAUCCUAAUUCUAGGAAGGAAAAAAAAACC
Molecule: long non-coding RNA, 549 nt
Filed under: Numida meleagris (helmeted guineafowl)
Lineage: Eukaryota; Metazoa; Chordata; Aves; Galliformes; Numididae
Description: lncRNA (ENSNMEG00000017607.1)
Source: RNAcentral